AUAACGGAGAGUUUGAUCCUGGCUCAGAAUGAACGCUGGCGGCGUGCUUAACACAUGCAAGUCGUACGAGAAAUCACGCCUUCGGGUGUGAGAGUAAAGUGGCGCACGGGUGAGUAACGCGUGGGUAACCUACCCUCAGGUCUGGGAUAACAGUUCCAAAGGACUGCUAAUACCGGAUGAGACCACGGAGAUUUCGGUCUCUGGGGUCAAAGAUGGCCUCUACAUGUAAGCUAUCGCCCGAGGAUGGGCCCGCGUGCUAUUAGCUAGUUGGUAGGGUAACGGCCUACCAAGGCUACGAUAGCUAGCUGGUCUGAGAGGAUGAUCAGCCACACUGGAACUGAAACACGGUCCAGACUCCUACGGGAGGCAGCAGUGAGGAAUUUUGCGCAAUGGGGGAAACCCUG
RNAcentral lists this ribosomal RNA (404 nucleotides) under Pseudomonadota bacterium. RNAcentral's name for it is "bacterial SSU rRNA". It matches the Rfam family "Bacterial small subunit ribosomal RNA", at positions 1 to 385 of the family's 1533-position model. Lineage: Bacteria; Pseudomonadati; Pseudomonadota. The record is from RNAcentral.